UAUCGAAGCUCUCUCUUCCUGUCUCCUUUCAGUCGCUGGAAGUCGAUGGCAGAUGGAUGCAGAGGGUCAAUAUGUUUUGCCAAAAGUAAUAGAGAUCGCUGACGGUGACUGUGAGCUGUUGUUCGAGCAGUUCAAACCCACCAAUGUUAGCAUACAUA
Molecule: small RNA, 158 nt
Filed under: Malassezia sympodialis ATCC 42132
Lineage: Eukaryota; Fungi; Basidiomycota; Malasseziomycetes; Malasseziales; Malasseziaceae
Source: RNAcentral